RNAcentral lists this ribosomal RNA (465 nucleotides) under Vreelandella stevensii. Its description in RNAcentral is "partial 16S ribosomal RNA". It matches the Rfam family "Bacterial small subunit ribosomal RNA", at positions 338 to 795 of the family's 1533-position model. The record is from RNAcentral. Lineage: Bacteria; Pseudomonadati; Pseudomonadota; Gammaproteobacteria; Oceanospirillales; Halomonadaceae.
CCUACGGGAGGCUGCAGUGGGGAAUAUUGGACAAUGGGGGGAACCCUGAUCCAGCCAUGCCGCGUGUGUGAAGAAGGCCCUCGGGUUGUAAAGCACUUUCAGUGAGGAAGAACGCCUGGUGGUUAAUACCCAUCAGGAAAGACAUCACUCACAGAAGAAGCACCGGCUAACUCCGUGCCAGCAGCCGCGGUAAUACGGAGGGUGCGAGCGUUAAUCGGAAUUACUGGGCGUAAAGCGCGCGUAGGUGGCUUGAUAAGCCGGUUGUGAAAGCCCCGGGCUCAACCUGGGAACGGCAUCCGGACCUGUCAAGCUAGAGUGCAGGAGAGGAAGGUAGAAUUCCCGGUGUAGCGGUGAAAUGCGUAGAGAUCGGGAGGAAUACCAGUGGCGAAGGCGGCCUUCUGGACUGACACUGACACUGAGGUGCGAAAGCGUGGGUAGCAAACAGGAUUAGAUACCCCUGUAGUC